AAAGAUUAGACAUGGAAAAAGGCAC
This 25-nucleotide non-coding RNA is filed under the name Rattus norvegicus (Norway rat). The record is from RNAcentral. Lineage: Eukaryota; Metazoa; Chordata; Mammalia; Rodentia; Muridae.